Molecule: non-coding RNA, 28 nt
Filed under: Mus musculus (house mouse)
Lineage: Eukaryota; Metazoa; Chordata; Mammalia; Rodentia; Muridae
Source: RNAcentral
UGACAUUAGCCAGUCAGCACAGAAACUA